RNAcentral lists this ribosomal RNA (418 nucleotides) under uncultured bacterium. Its description in RNAcentral is "bacterial SSU rRNA". It matches the Rfam family "Bacterial small subunit ribosomal RNA", at positions 356 to 773 of the family's 1533-position model. The record is from RNAcentral.
GGGGAAUCUUGCGCAAUGGGCGGAAGCCUGACGCAGCAACGCCGCGUGAGGGAUGACGGCCUUCGGGUUGUAAACCUCUUUCGCGAUCGACGAAGGUCCAUUUUUGGGUGGGCUGACGGUGGGUCGAGAAGAAGCACCGGCCAACUACGUGCCAGCAGCCGCGGUAAUACGUAGGGUGCGAGCGUUGUCCGGAAUUAUUGGGCGUAAAGAGCUCGUAGGCGGUGUGUCACGUCGGCCGUGAAAACCUGGGGCUCAACUCUGGGCGUGCGGUCGAUACGGGCAUCACUAGAGUUCGGCAGGGGAGACUGGAAUUCCUGGUGUAGCGGUGAAAUGCGCAGAUAUCAGGAGGAACACCGGUGGCGAAGGCGGGUCUCUGGGCCGAUACUGACGCUGAGGAGCGAAAGCAUGGGUAGCGAAC